ACCUCAGUAGCUCAGUUGGUAGAGCAGCGGACUGUUAAUCCGUGUGUCGUAGGUUCGAGCCCUACCUGGGGUGCCA
RNAcentral lists this transfer RNA (76 nucleotides) under Robiginitomaculum sp. Its description in RNAcentral is "tRNA-Asn". It matches the Rfam family "tRNA". Rfam says of the family: Transfer RNA (tRNA) molecules are approximately 80 nucleotides in length. Their secondary structure includes four short double-helical elements and three loops (D, anti-codon, and T loops). The record is from RNAcentral. Lineage: Bacteria; Pseudomonadati; Pseudomonadota; Alphaproteobacteria; Maricaulales; Robiginitomaculaceae.